RNAcentral lists this ribosomal RNA (164 nucleotides) under uncultured Asterochloris photobiont. RNAcentral's name for it is "5.8S ribosomal RNA". It matches the Rfam family "5.8S ribosomal RNA". Rfam says of the family: 5.8S ribosomal RNA (5.8S rRNA) is a component of the large subunit of the eukaryotic ribosome. It is transcribed by RNA polymerase I as part of the 45S precursor that also contains 18S and 28S rRNA. The record is from RNAcentral. Lineage: Eukaryota; Viridiplantae; Chlorophyta; Trebouxiophyceae; Trebouxiales; Trebouxiaceae.
ACAACUCUCAACAACGGAUAUCUUGGCUCCCGCAACGAUGAAGAACGCACGCGAAAUGCGAUACGUAGUGUGAAUUGCAGAAUUCCGUGAACCAUCGAAUCUUUGAACGCAUAUUUGCGCCCCACGGCCUCGGCCCAGGGCAUGUCUGCCUCAGCGUCUGUUUA